Molecule: long non-coding RNA, 308 nt
Filed under: Capsicum annuum
Lineage: Eukaryota; Viridiplantae; Streptophyta; Magnoliopsida; Solanales; Solanaceae
Description: long non-coding RNA (CANN_LNC003386)
Source: RNAcentral
CAAAACUGAUAAAAAUAAAAAAUUUUGUGAUCUUUUCAAUCCCCCAAAGGAAGCAGUAAGUCUAAUUCUAAUCCAGUUUUUUUGUUUUAAUUAAUGAUUAUUUUAAAUAAUUUCAUCAUUAUUCUAAUAUAUAUACUAAUUUAUUUUAGAUUCAUCCGUGGCUUGUUUCGACCAAUCGAGAGUUGAAGAUGUCAUUUUUCUUACUUUAUGGUCUGUGCAAACUUUAUCAGACCCUAAGAUCGUUGAAAGAAUAAAAAUGAAAUUGUUUGGAGCAACAGUCAUCACAAGAAAAAUAAUUUUGGAGGGUG